UACGGAGGGAGCUAGCGUUGUUCGGAAUUACUGGGCGUAAAGGGCGCGUAGGCGGUGGUGUAAGUCAGAUGUGAAAACCAUCGGCUUAACCGAUUGGAUUGCAUUUGAUACUGCAUCACUUGAGUUCAGUAGAGGAGAGUGGAAUUCCCAGUGUAGCGGUGGAAUGCGUAGAUAUUGGGAAGAACACCAGUGGCGAAGGCGGCUCUCUGGACUGACACUGACGCUGAGGCGCGAAAGCUAGGGGAGCGAACAGG
RNAcentral lists this ribosomal RNA (254 nucleotides) under uncultured bacterium. RNAcentral's name for it is "partial 16S ribosomal RNA". It matches the Rfam family "Bacterial small subunit ribosomal RNA", at positions 524 to 776 of the family's 1533-position model. The record is from RNAcentral.